This 32-nucleotide non-coding RNA is filed under the name Geobacter sulfurreducens KN400. Lineage: Bacteria; Pseudomonadati; Thermodesulfobacteriota; Desulfuromonadia; Geobacterales; Geobacteraceae. The record is from RNAcentral.
GCGUUCGGGGGGAAAUAGGAUCAAUGGAAGGC